This 460-nucleotide ribosomal RNA is filed under the name uncultured bacterium. RNAcentral describes it as "partial 16S ribosomal RNA". It matches the Rfam family "Bacterial small subunit ribosomal RNA", at positions 338 to 795 of the family's 1533-position model. The record is from RNAcentral.
CCUACGGGUGGCAGCAGUGAGGAAUAUUGGGCAAUGGGCGGAAGCCUGAACCAGCCAAGUAGCGUGCAGGAUGACGGCCCUACGGGUUGUAAACUGCUUUUAUACGGGAAUAACGCGCCUUACGUGUAGGGCUUUGCAUGUACCGUAUGAAUAAGGACCGGCUAAUUCCGUGCCAGCAGCCGCGGUAAUAAGGAAGGUCCGGGCGUUAUCCGGAUUUAAUGGGGUUAAAGGGAGCGUAGGCCGCAUGUCAAGCGUGCUGUGAAAUGUCCGGGCUCAACCCGGGCCUUGCAGCGCGAACUGGCGUGCUUGAGUCCGCGGAAAGCAGGCGGAAUUCGUCGUGUAGCGGUGAAAUGCUUAGAUAUGACGAAGAACCCCGAUUGCGAAGGCAGCUUGCUGCAGCGGAACUGACGCUGAUGCUCGAAAGCGCGGGUAUCGAACAGGAUUAGAUACCCCGGUAGUC